RNAcentral lists this ribosomal RNA (499 nucleotides) under uncultured bacterium. RNAcentral's name for it is "partial 16S ribosomal RNA". It matches the Rfam family "Bacterial small subunit ribosomal RNA", at positions 28 to 508 of the family's 1533-position model. The record is from RNAcentral.
GACGAACGCUGGCGGCGUGCCUAAUACAUGCAAGUCGAGCGGACGAAUCGAAAGCUUGCUUUUGAUUCGUUAGCGGCGGACGGGUGAGUAACACGUGGGCAACCUGCCCUGUAGACGGGGAUAACACCGAGAAAUCGGUGCUAAUACCGGAUAACACGAAAUGUCGCAUGACGUUUCGUUGAAAGACGGCGCAAGCUGCCGCUACAGGAUGGGCCCGCGGCGCAUUAGCUAGUUGGUGAGGUAACGGCUCACCAAGGCGACGAUACGUAGCCGACCUGAGAGGGUGAUCGGCCACACUGGGACUGAGACACGGCCCAGACUCCUACGGGAGGCAGCAGUAGGGAAUCUUCCGCAAUGGACGAAAGUCUGACGGAGCAACGCCGCGGGAGCGAAGAAGGCCUUCGGGUCGUAAAGCUCUGUUGUUAGGGAAGAACAAGUAACGCAGUAACUGGCGUUACCGUGACGGUACCUAACGAGAAAGCCACGGCUAACUACGUGC